Molecule: long non-coding RNA, 1306 nt
Filed under: Helianthus annuus (common sunflower)
Lineage: Eukaryota; Viridiplantae; Streptophyta; Magnoliopsida; Asterales; Asteraceae
Description: hypothetical non coding rna
Source: RNAcentral
UUUCCCAAAUUGAUUUACCCAAACUAUUUCAAUUUCCCGCUUCCCCAGAUCGACCCUUCACUAAAAAAAAUUCAUUCUCCCGCUAUCCCUGUCCCCAAACCCUAGUCGUUUUCACCUUAUUGCUCAAAUUUAAACUCAAAAUCAAGAUUGAGGAGAUAAUCAAUUAAAUUGUCUCACAUUCUUUUUCUAAAUCUGUUGUUUUUCGAUUCAAUAUCUAAUCUAAUCAAUCUUGUGCUUCCUUCGAUUACAGAUUUUGUUGUGGCGAGAGGAUGAACAAUCAUAGUAGAAGCAACAGGAACACAGGCACUGGUCCACCCACUCAAUCGGUCCUUAAUAGUAUGUUGAAGCCUUGAGAUUCUUCUUUCAUGACUAUGUUGGUUCAUAACUUAUGCCUUAAAAGUGGACCCAACCUAGGUUCUAAAGCAUCAAAGAUUCGUAUUCUAUGUGAUUUUAAACAGCCUGACCCCGCCUGGUAAGCACAGCAUUUGGGUGAGGGGUCGGGUUGGGUGAGGCCAAAGCACUACUUUGUUGUUGUUGUUGUUGUUGUUGUUUUUACAAAAUUAACAUAAUAAUUAGGAUGGUUCGAUAUGUGGGGGGGGGGUCAAUGAGGGUGCUGGCGCUGAUGAAAGAUCUAUCUUAGUGAGGACAAUGGUAGAAAGCAAAGCAAGCAAAAAUGUGCUUCGCGAAUUUUACCUACUUGGUAAGAUGCUAAUUUACGUGCCACUGAAUUCGCUGACGACAACGUAGUUGCGACACCUGGCAUUCAAAUGGUUGAAGUGACUGCACCUGCAUCAACUAAAAUUACACUGAAGUUGUUGCAGCAAUUUCUUUAUUUUGUGAACAUCUUGCAGCGUUAAUACGAACAACGAAGGUUAUCAAAGGAACAAAUGAAGAACUACAAAAACCUUCAGAAGAUGGAAAUGCUUUGGUCUAUCCUUUUGCGGUUGUAAUGAACAAGGAGUUUGAUCGUCACGUUCGACUUUAUAGCAAAGGUUUUGCUAAAAGAUGAUGAAAAUAUGGAUGGUGGUGAGGAAGCAUACACGAUUCUAGGUGGGAUUUUAUCAUGGCGGAGAGGAACCAUACAUGAUGGUUACAUUCGACUUAUAUCAUUGAAACACCAAAGCGCCAACCAGCAAAAUUUGAAGCUAUGAUGUAGAGUAUUAUUGAAAAGCUAUUUGUUGACUAGUUUAGGAUCUUAGAUGCCAAUGAGGUUUUCGUUACCUUUUAUCAUUGUAAUUGACAAUAUUAUUUUGAUUACAUUGUUAUUUUAAGUUUGGACAUGUGUUCAUGUUAUUAUUGUGUUGGU